This 422-nucleotide long non-coding RNA is filed under the name Mytilus galloprovincialis (Mediterranean mussel). The record is from RNAcentral. Lineage: Eukaryota; Metazoa; Mollusca; Bivalvia; Mytilida; Mytilidae.
UUGGUAUGAUUGACAAUAAGACACCUAUUUACCAUACAUCAAAAUUUGCCUACACACUAAAUGAAUAAUAAAUACCAAGGUCAGUGAAGAUUUGGUGGCACUUAGGUCGGGGUGUUGUCUCUUUGACAUAUUCCCUAUUUCCAUUCACUAUUCUAUUGUUAUGUAAAAUAGUAAGAAAAUUGUAAAUUUAGGGGUCUAGGAGUCCCUUUUGAAAAUUCCGGAACAGUCAGAAUAAAGAGUUAAUUGUCCUUUGAUGAAAUAAUAUAUUUUCUACAAAUUUUUACACUGAUCUUAUACUUGAAUUAUGGAAUCAUUUUGGAGAUAAAUAAAACAACCAUUUCUUUUCCUAAUCCCAACACAUUCUUGUCAGUUGCCUUAAAUUUGUACUAAUAAAUAAACACAUUAUUUUCAGACUUUACAAA